RNAcentral lists this long non-coding RNA (1781 nucleotides) under Salmo salar (Atlantic salmon). RNAcentral's name for it is "lncRNA (ENSSSAG00000118141.1)". The record is from RNAcentral. Lineage: Eukaryota; Metazoa; Chordata; Actinopteri; Salmoniformes; Salmonidae.
CUUGGUGAUGUAAAACUUCUUUAACCCUUCAACAAAAUGUGUGAAAAUGGACGACACUUGAGGUUUCAGGGCAUGACCUGUGGAAAUAGAAAGAGGGUCAAGUCCCUCAACUCAAAGCCAAGUAGACCUCUGUCUUUUGGACAAUACAGUUAAAAGAAACCACUGAUGUCAGAUAUUCACACAUUUGGUCUCACUUAGCCCGCCCAUCUCCUCCCCAUCUCCUCCAGGACUCCAACAGGGCAGCAGUCACAUUUAUUUGGGUUUGGGAACAAAAAAGGAGGAAAAUGAAUGGUAACGUGAAUAACUUGACAAGUAACGAGUAGGCUGGCUGCGACAGGGACAAUAAAUCAGUGGCUUGACACGGCUAUAUCAGUCUUCCUCAGCCACCACACGUUUUGGUUCGUUUCCGAUCGGACACAGAAAGCGCCCAUGGACAAGCAGAAACGAGGGUCUGGAGCUGAUGGGAUGGUUAUCAAUCACAGCAGGAUAGAGUCCUGAGUCACGGAGACUGAACAAGUCAUUCCUUCCCCUCGGUCUCAGUCUCUUCAUCACUUCGUUUCCUCAUUGUUUCCAUUUGAAAUGUGACUGUGGAUCUUUAGGUGUCCUGCAGCCAUCAGUCUUUAAUUAAAUACUCAGUGACCAAAAAGAGAGGGUGAUCAUACAUAGUGGGUCAAUUCUUCCCGCUCUCUUUAAUGCGCAUUUAAUUGCCCUUCUCAUCUAACUAGCGUAUUGAGAUACGUGGCCCUGUAUUUUAUACUACUGUCCCAUUCUGAAAUACAGCAGACCCCUUCACUCAGCAGACAGGGUGAUUCAAAAAGGAAGACAAGGCACUAAUAAGCCCAAGAAGGUGUCCCAUCAGAGCCCUGACUGAGGUUAAGAUAUUAAUCUAAUAAGGUGUCCCAUCAUAGAGCCCUGACUGAGGUUAAGAUAUUAAUCUAAUAAGGUGUCCCAUCAUAGAGCCCUGACUGAGGUUAAGAUAUUAAUCUAAUAAGGUGUCCCAUCAGAGCCCUGACUGAGGUUAAGAUAUUAGUGAGAAACCGAAUGGCUUCAUCUUGCCUGCUUAAAGCUAAGAAGUGGGAAUAUAGGGUGAGUAAUGAGAUCCCAGGGGACUGAAGAACUUUACAAAGAUGUCUGGCACCAAUGCCUGAUUCCUUCCACCAGACCUCAAGAAACAAUAUUGUAAAACUUCAAUAAAACAACUGCUUAAAUUGUUCCCACAGUCAUUUUUCCAUCGGGCUUCAAUCCACAAGUCGUGCGUGCAGCUAGCUACUCCACUGGUGAAAUAACAAUCAAUUGAACUCAAUGCAAUGCAGCAGAGGGCGGGGAUAGCGCAGCAGAGGGCGGGGAUAGCGCAGCAGAGGGCGGGGAUAACGCAGCAGAGGGCGGGGAUAACGCAGCAGAGGGCGGGGAUAACGCAGCAGAGGGCGGAGAUAACGCAGCAGAGGGCCGGGAUAACGCAGCAGAGGGUGGAAGAAAAAAAGCAUUGUUCUUUUCUCAAAUGGAUUCCAGUUGGGUAAAGAGACACACACAAAAGCAGGCUAAUUAAAAAAAGAAUGGCAGAGUGAAGGAAUCAGAAAUGAAAAUAAGGUCAGGCCCACAGCACAGGCAGUGUGGAGAGCCAGAGAGCAGUCAGAGUAUGGCUUCACUUCUGAGCUCCCGUGUUUACAAAGAUACACAGGGCCUUCAGAAAGUAUUCACACCCCUUGACCUUUUCCACAUUUUGUUGUGUUACAGCCUGAAUAAUGUCAAAGUGGAAUUAAGUUUUCCAAAAGGUUUACAAA